This 446-nucleotide ribosomal RNA is filed under the name uncultured bacterium. RNAcentral's name for it is "bacterial SSU rRNA". It matches the Rfam family "Bacterial small subunit ribosomal RNA", at positions 329 to 792 of the family's 1533-position model. The record is from RNAcentral.
UACCAGACUCCUACGGGAGGCAGCAGUGGGGGAUAUUGCACAAUGGGGGGAACCCUGAUGCAGCGACGCCGCGUGAGCGAUGAAGUAUUUCGGUAUGUAAAGCUCUAUCAGCAGGGAAGAAAAUGACGGUACCUGAAGAAGAAGCCCCGGCUAACUACGUGCCAGCAGCCGCGGUAAUACGUAGGGGGCAAGCGUUAUCCGGAUUUACUGGGUGUAAAGGGGGCGCAGACGGCGAUGCAAGCCAGGAGUGAAAGCCCGGGGCCCAACCCCGGGACUGCUCUUGGAACUGCGUGGCUGGAGUGCAGGAGGGGCAGGCGGAAUUCCUGGUGUAGCGGUGAAAUGCGUAGAUAUCAGGAGGAACACCGGUGGCGAAGGCGGCCUGCUGGACUGCAACUGACGUUGAGGCCCGACAGCGUGGGGAGCAAACAGGAUUAGAUCCCCUCGUA